Molecule: unclassified non-coding RNA, 93 nt
Organism: Prolemur simus (greater bamboo lemur)
Lineage: Eukaryota; Metazoa; Chordata; Mammalia; Primates; Lemuridae
Rfam family: Y RNA
About the family: Y RNAs are components of the Ro ribonucleoprotein particle (Ro RNP), in association with Ro60 and La proteins. The Y RNAs and Ro60 and La proteins are well conserved, but the function of the Ro RNP is not known.
Source: Ensembl
GGCUGGUCUGAUGGUGGUGCGUUAUGAGAACUUACUAACAUUAGUGUCACUAAAGUUGGUAUACAAUCCCCCACUGCUAAAUUUGGCUAAUAA